UUCUAUACUCUUCAUUCGUUAGAUCCGCGAACCGGGUCAACCCUAAUCUAUAUGUCGAAUUCAAACCGUUAUGUUCAUCAAUGAAUUUAAGGUUGUCUUUGAAGAUCUCAAACCUUUUGUCUUUCUCUCCUAAACCGUUGUAGGAUUUUCCAUGUUUCACUAACCACUCUUCGUACAUAGUCAACACUUCUUUGUUGGUUCUUUUGCUUGUUGAUUUGUCUGGGUGGGUUUUGUCGUAGGAGAUGAUCGACAUGUCUAAGGCUAGUGAAACUGUGAAGGAGGAUAUGAUGAGAACGAU
This 298-nucleotide long non-coding RNA is filed under the name Medicago truncatula (barrel medic). Its description in RNAcentral is "long non-coding RNA (MTRU_LNC008080)". Lineage: Eukaryota; Viridiplantae; Streptophyta; Magnoliopsida; Fabales; Fabaceae. The record is from RNAcentral.